This 798-nucleotide ribosomal RNA is filed under the name Burkholderia vietnamiensis. RNAcentral's name for it is "bacterial SSU rRNA". It matches the Rfam family "Bacterial small subunit ribosomal RNA", at positions 54 to 873 of the family's 1533-position model. The record is from RNAcentral. Lineage: Bacteria; Pseudomonadati; Pseudomonadota; Betaproteobacteria; Burkholderiales; Burkholderiaceae.
CAUGCAGUCGAACGGCAGCACGGGUGCUUGCACCUGGUGGCGAGUGGCGAACGGGUGAGUAAUACAUCGGAACAUGUCCUGUAGUGGGGGAUAGCCCGGCGAAAGCCGGAUUAAUACCGCAUACGAUCUACGGAUGAAAGCGGGGGACCUUCGGGCCUCGCGCUAUAGGGUUGGCCGAUGGCUGAUUAGCUAGUUGGUGGGGUAAAGGCCUACCAAGGCGACGAUCAGUAGCUGGUCUGAGAGGACGACCAGCCACACUGGGACUGAGACACGGCCCAGACUCCUACGGGAGGCAGCAGUGGGGAAUUUUGGACAAUGGGCGAAAGCCUGAUCCAGCAAUGCCGCGUGUGUGAAGAAGGCCUUCGGGUUGUAAAGCACUUUUGUCCGGAAAGAAAUCCUUGGCUCUAAUACAGUCGGGGGAUGACGGUACCGGAAGAAUAAGCACCGGCUAACUACGUGCCAGCAGCCGCGGUAAUACGUAGGGUGCGAGCGUUAAUCGGAAUUACUGGGCGUAAAGCGUGCGCAGGCGGUUUGCUAAGACCGAUGUGAAAUCCCCGGGCUCAACCUGGGAACUGCAUUGGUGACUGGCAGGCUAAGUAUGGCAGAGGGGGGUAGAAUUCCACGUGUACAGUGAAAUGCGUAGAGAUGUGGAGGAAUACAUGGAGCGCCCCCUGGGCCUACUGACCUCAUGCACAAAGCGUGGGGAGCAGAUUAGAUACCCUGGGUAGUCCCGCCUAUCACUAUUUGGAUUUCCUUAUAACACUAACGCUGAAAGUUACCCCGGGAGCGCAGGAUUAG